UGGUACCUUCGGUAUCCGCGUUGUAACCUCGAGACACGUUUUCCGUGCGGCGCUAUGGACAAGUUUCCUUGGAACAGGACAUCGUAGAGGGUGAAAAUCCCGUACUUGCCAUGGAUGUACCGUGCUUUGCGAUACGUGCUCUAAGAGUCGAGUUGUUUGGGAUUGCAGCUCAAAAUGGGUGGUAGACUCCAUCUAAAGCUAAAUAUCGGGGAGAGACCGAUAGCGAACAAGUACCGUGAGGGAAAGAUGAAAAGCACUUUGGAAAGAGAGUUAAAAGUACGUGAAAUUGUCGAAAGGGAAGCGCUUGAAGUCAGCCAUGCCGCUCAGGACUCAGCCUGGCUUUUGCUUGGUGUAUUUCCUGGGUAGCAAGUCAGCAUUGGUUUGGAUCGUCGGAGAAGCAUAGUCGGAAUGUGGCGCCCUCGGGCGUGUUAUAGCCUUCUAUUGGAUACGACGAUCUAGACCAAGGAACGCAGCGCGCCUAUGGCGGUC
Molecule: ribosomal RNA, 489 nt
Filed under: Malassezia furfur
Lineage: Eukaryota; Fungi; Basidiomycota; Malasseziomycetes; Malasseziales; Malasseziaceae
Description: eukaryotic LSU rRNA
Rfam family: Eukaryotic large subunit ribosomal RNA
Source: RNAcentral